CUACCAUGCAAGUCGAACGAUGACCUCCAGCUUGCUGGGGUGAUUAGUGGCGAACGGGUGAGUAACACGUGAGUAACCUGCCCUUAACUCUGGGAUAAGCCUGGGAAACUGGGUCUAAUACCGGAUAUGACUCCUCAUCGCAUGGUGGGGGGUGGAAAGCUUUUUGUGGUUUUGGAUGGACUCGCGGCCUAUCAGCUUGUUGGUGAGGUAAUGGCUCACCAAGGCGACGACGGGUAGCCGGCCUGAGAGGGUGACCGGCCACACUGGGACUGAGACACGGCCCAGACUCCUACGGGAGGCAGCAGUGGGGAAUAUUGCACAAUGGGCGAAAGCCUGAUGCAGCGACGCCGCGUGAGGGAUGACGGCCUUCGGGUUGUAAACCUCUUUCAGUAGGGAAGAAGCGAAAGUGACGGUACCUGCAGAAGAAGCGCCGGCUAACUACGUGCCACCAGCCGCGGUAAUACGUAGGGCGCAAGCGUUAUCCGGAAUUAUUGGGCGUAAAGAGCUCGUAGGCGGUUUGUCGCGUCUGCCGUGAAAGUCCGGGGCUCAACUCCGGAUCUGCGGUGGGUACGGGCAGACUAGAGUGAUGUAGGGGAGACUGGAAUUCCUGGUGUAGCGGUGAAAUGCGCAGAUAUCAGGAGGAACACCGAUGGCGAAGGCAGGUCUCUGGGCAUUAACUGACGCUGAGGAGCGAAAGCAUGGGGAGCGAACAGGAUUAGAUACCCUGGUAGUCCAUGCCGUAAACGUUGGGCACUAGGUGUGGGGGACAUUCCACGUUUUCCGCGCCGUAGCUAACGCAUUAAGUGCCCCGCCUGGGGAGUACGGCCGCAAGGCUAA
RNAcentral lists this ribosomal RNA (837 nucleotides) under Arthrobacter sp. EAPM. RNAcentral describes it as "bacterial SSU rRNA". It matches the Rfam family "Bacterial small subunit ribosomal RNA", at positions 49 to 897 of the family's 1533-position model. Lineage: Bacteria; Bacillati; Actinomycetota; Actinomycetes; Micrococcales; Micrococcaceae. The record is from RNAcentral.